Molecule: ribosomal RNA, 260 nt
Filed under: uncultured bacterium
Lineage: Bacteria
Description: partial 16S ribosomal RNA
Rfam family: Bacterial small subunit ribosomal RNA
Source: RNAcentral
GUCCACGCCUUAAACGAUGAGAGCUAGUUGUCAGUAAGCAUGCUUAUUGGUGACGCAGCUAACGCAUUAAGCUCUCCGCCUGGGGAGUACGGCCGCAAGGUUAAAACUCAAAGAAAUUGACGGGGGCCCGCACAAGCGGUGGAGCAUGUGGUUUAAUUCGAAGCAACGCGCAGAACCUUACCCACCUUUGACAUCCCGUGUUACCUAGAGAGAUCUAGGGUCCCUUCGGGGCGCGGAGACAGGUGCUGCAUGGCUGUCGU